AGGGACCCGCACAAGCGGUGAGGAUGUGUUCAAUUCGAUGCUACGCGAAGAACUUACCAGGGUUUGACAUGCAAGUGGUAGGAAGCCGAAAGGUGACCGACCCUUCGGGGAGCUUGCACAGGUGCUGCAUGGCUGUCGUCAGCUCGUGUCGUGAGAUGUUCGGUUAAGUCCGCUAACGAGCGCAACCCUCGCUGUGUGUUAUAUGUGUCACACGGGACUGCCGGUCUUAAGCCGGAGGAAGGUGGGGAUGAUGUCAAGUCAGCAUGGCCUUUAUAUCCUGGGCUACACACACGCUACAAUGGCCAGCACAGUAGGUUGCUAAGCCGCGAGGUGGAGCCAAUCCAUAAAGCUGGUCUCAGUUCAGAUUGCAGGCUGCAACCCGCCUGCAUGAAGAUGGAGUUGCUAGUAACCGCAGGUCAGCUAUACUGCGGUGAAUACGUUCCCGGGGCUU
This 451-nucleotide ribosomal RNA is filed under the name uncultured Leptolinea sp. RNAcentral's name for it is "bacterial SSU rRNA". It matches the Rfam family "Bacterial small subunit ribosomal RNA", at positions 915 to 1382 of the family's 1533-position model. The record is from RNAcentral. Lineage: Bacteria; Bacillati; Chloroflexota; Anaerolineae; Anaerolineales; Anaerolineaceae.